Molecule: long non-coding RNA, 326 nt
Filed under: Mustela putorius furo (domestic ferret)
Lineage: Eukaryota; Metazoa; Chordata; Mammalia; Carnivora; Mustelidae
Description: lncRNA (ENSMPUG00000027600.1)
Source: RNAcentral
UGUAAAAGUAAGUUUGGGAAGCUCCAGUUUCAGAAAGCAUCCUCAAGUGGAGAUCUAAAUGUUCAGUGAACAGGCAGAAUAGAAACUAAAUGAGCUCCCAGAACUGAGAUGCUUCAAGACUCAUCCACAAGGGCAGACCUCCCAGGGAAGACGUGGAUCAAGAGAUCAGAGAGAGACACAGCGAGAGAGGGAACACUAACAGGGGGAGUGGGAGUGGGAGAAGCUGGCUUCCUGCUGAGCAGGGUAAUCUGAUCCUGGGCUGAAUCCCAGGACCCUGGGAUCAUGAUCUGAGUCUAAGGCAGACUCAUAACGACUGAGCCACCCAG